UGUGGUCUGGAAGACUCUAUUACAUAUGAAAAUAAUUUAGACAUUUGGUGUACAUGCUUGCUUGAGGAGCCAAUGGAGUGAAGCUACCAUCUGUGGGAUUAUGGCUUAAUGCCUCUAAGUCAGUAUCCCACCCAGGCAGAACAAUACGGCAGUGCCAAAGGAGCCUUGGUAGGCCUGGGAUAGCUGGUCCCCCAUUCAUCCCUGCCAGCCUAGCCCAGGGCCCAGUCCUUGAGUCGAAGCAGGGUCAUCGCCCCACCACUGUGUGUCAGGACCGGGGUCUGGUGCCUCUAGUCCUGGGAAACAGGGUGGCCACAUAGGGUGGGGCCCCCACUCCCGUCAUGCAACACAUGUUCGGGUGGAACCUAGCACACCAUUUGUAGACGACCUGCUUAUGGAUUAGGGCUUUGUAUGUAGCAGAGCAGCCGCAUCACUGCAGUCUAUUGAAUGUCAGCCCUCGACACAAGGGUUU
This 469-nucleotide non-coding RNA is filed under the name Dipodomys ordii (Ord's kangaroo rat). Its description in RNAcentral is "Eukaryotic large subunit ribosomal RNA". It matches the Rfam family "Eukaryotic large subunit ribosomal RNA", at positions 3010 to 3401 of the family's 3401-position model. Lineage: Eukaryota; Metazoa; Chordata; Mammalia; Rodentia; Heteromyidae. The record is from Rfam by way of RNAcentral.